UGUAGCUCAGUGGUAUAGUGCUUGCCUAGCAAGCAUGAGGACCUGGGUACAAUCCCCAGUA
RNAcentral lists this transfer RNA (61 nucleotides) under Urocitellus parryii (Arctic ground squirrel). RNAcentral's name for it is "Spermophilus parryii (Arctic ground squirrel) tRNA". It matches the Rfam family "tRNA", at positions 6 to 65 of the family's 71-position model. From Rfam's summary of the family: Transfer RNA (tRNA) molecules are approximately 80 nucleotides in length. Their secondary structure includes four short double-helical elements and three loops (D, anti-codon, and T loops). Lineage: Eukaryota; Metazoa; Chordata; Mammalia; Rodentia; Sciuridae. The record is from Rfam by way of RNAcentral. RNAcentral also lists the same sequence under 1 other name.